GACGAACUUUGGCGGCGUGCUUAACACAUGCAAGUCGAACGGAAAGGCCCUGCUUUUGUGGGGUGCUCGAGUGGCGAACGGGUGAGUAACACGUGAGUAACCUGCCCUUGACUUUGGGAUAACUUCAGGAAACUGGGGCUAAUACCGGAUAGGAGCUCCUGCUGCAUGGUGGGGGUUGGAAAGUUUCGGCGGUUGGGGAUGGACUCGCGGCUUAUCAGCUUGUUGGUGGGGUAGUGGCUUACCAAGGCUUUGACGGGUAGCCGGCCUGAGAGGGUGACCGGCCACAUUGGGACUGAGAUACGGCCCAGACUCCUACGGGAGGCAGCAGUGGGGAAUAUUGCACAAUGGGCGGAAGCCUGAUGCAGCAACGCCGCGUGCGGGAUGACGGCCUUCGGGUUGUAAACCGCUUUCGCCUGUGACGAAGCGUGAGUGACGGUAAUGGGUAAAGAAGCACCGGCUAACUACGUGCCAGCAGCCGCGGUGAUACGUAGGGUGCGAGCGUUGUCCGGAUUUAUUGGGCGUAAAGGGCUCGUAGGUGGUUGAUCGCGUCGGAAGUGUAAUCUUGGGGCUUAACCCUGAGCGUGCUUUCGAUACGGGUUGACUUGAGGAAGGUAGGGGAGAAUGGAAUUCCUGGUGGAGCGGUGGAAUGCGCAGAUAUCAGGAGGAACACCAGUGGCGAAGGCGGUUCUCUGGGCCUUUCCUGACGCUGAGGAGCGAAAGCGUGGGGAGCGAACAGGCUUAGAUACCCUGGUAGUCCACGCUGUAAACGGUGGGUACUAGGUGUGGGGUCCAUUCCACGGGUUCCGUGCCGUAGCUAACGCUUUAAGUACCCCGCCUGGGGAGUACGGCCGCAAGGCUAAAACUCAAAGGAAUUGACGGGGCCCCGCACAAGCGGCGGAGCAUGCGGAUUAAUUCGAUGCAACGCGUAGAACCUUACCUGGGUUUGACAUGGAUCGGGAGUGCUCAGAGAUGGGUGUGCCUCUUUUGGGGUCGGUUCACAGGUGGUGCAUGCCUGUCGUCAGCUCGUGUCGUGAGAUGUUGGGUUAAGUCCCGCAACGAGCGCAACCCUUGUUCACUGUUGCCAGCACGUUAUGGUGGGGACUCAGUGGAGACCGCCGGGGUCAACUCGGAGGAAGGUGGGGAUGACGUCAAGUCCUCAUGCCCCUUAUGUCCAGGGCUUCACGCAUGCUACAAUGGCUGGUACAGAGAGUGGCGAGCCUGUGAGGGUGAGCGAAUCUCGGAAAGCCGGUCUCAGUUCGGAUUGGGGUCUGCAACUCGACCUCAUGAAGUCGGAGUCGCUAGUAAUCGCAAAUCAGCAACGCUGCGGUGAAUACGUUCCCGGGGC
RNAcentral lists this ribosomal RNA (1345 nucleotides) under uncultured bacterium. RNAcentral describes it as "bacterial SSU rRNA". It matches the Rfam family "Bacterial small subunit ribosomal RNA", at positions 28 to 1380 of the family's 1533-position model. The record is from RNAcentral.